UCUCCUGGCAGAUAAAUAGGGCAACCUCCUUUUGUGGGGGGAUGAAUAAAAAAAGUUGUCUUAAGGGGAGCAGAGGAUGGUUGAUUGGUUUUUGUCUUUGGUUGGUUUUACUCAAGCUAGUGCUAUUAUGGUUUGUAGUACCACUUCCAGGCCCUAGAUGCUGUUUGUGCUGGAUACUGUGUUAACAAGUGCAUAACAAACCUGAGCAAUCUCACUGCUCUGACCUGUGGAAGGAUUUCUGAUGGAAGGCAACAGAGUUUCGCUCCAGGUAUAGCAGUAUGUUUUUGUGGACAGUUUGGAAUUGGGGACAGAAUGAAGGCACUUAUUCUUCCUGAAAAAUUGCACCUGUCCUUGGCAUGACUAAACACAGGAUGGAAUCCUGACUCAAAUUGUUCCUGCUAAUACCUCUGUGAGUGCUGGGUGCUGAGUGAGGAAUAGGAAAGGCUUCUCUCUUGGGUAAAGUGAAAUGCCCUGGCUUAGGCACCCAAAAGAUUCAGUUUGGGGUGGUAGAGGGGAGGGAGGGUGGGGGGAGCAAGGACCUCACACAAGAACUGACCUAAACUCUGAGGAGGAGUGUCCAGCUCCUGGUGCUGUGGGACUGCAGAGUUCCUGAGGAGCUGGUGCUCAGCUUGGGUCUGCAUGUUCAGACUGAUCUGACCGAGUCUGGCAUUAUUGAUGGCUGAAGUUUUGCCUUCAAUCUUGCACGAUUUGAGUAGAAGGUGUCAGAAAUCUUGCAGGACUAAGUUUCUCCCUCAUGGAUGGUUCUGUCAGCUUGGAAUGGCAUUUUUCAAGAGGAGAUUCUGGUUUGUUCAUGCCACAAUCAGAUCUGUGUUUCUUCUGAAUCAAUGUCUGGAUAAAUUAAAACCAAAGCAUGUUACCUGAUUCAGAGGAUUUAAAUCCAGACUGUUCAUCCCCUACUUUUCAAGAAGUUCAGAUCUGAGGGUUGGAUUUCAGGAAAUUUUCAUUUAGGGAGCGACUAGAGUUGCAAAAGCCCUAGAAUCCCGAGUUCUUUGUUCACCAGCCAUGCACAGUGCAGACAACAGCAAUAGCAGCAAUUCACUUCCCCAGAAUUGCAAACAAGCUUAACCCUGAGCUGGAAAGGCCGUUCUCUGGAGGGGUGACAGGAAAUUCAAUAUGUGAGCUGAGCGUGCUCUGACUUCCUUGGCAGACAGACUGCCAGCUGCACACAGUUCUGCUGAUGAUGUGAUGAGCACCCAUCCUUCACUGAGGCCUCCAUCAGCCAG
Molecule: long non-coding RNA, 1244 nt
Organism: Empidonax traillii (willow flycatcher)
Lineage: Eukaryota; Metazoa; Chordata; Aves; Passeriformes; Tyrannidae
Exons: 4
Source: RefSeq, a predicted model, not a curated record